GCCUGGGUGGCUCAGUCGGUUAAGCAUCUGACUUCAGCUCAGGUCAGGUCGUGAUGUCACAGUUUGUGAGUUUGAGUCCCACGUCAGGCU
This 90-nucleotide transfer RNA is filed under the name Felis catus (domestic cat). It matches the Rfam family "tRNA". From Rfam's summary of the family: Transfer RNA (tRNA) molecules are approximately 80 nucleotides in length. Lineage: Eukaryota; Metazoa; Chordata; Mammalia; Carnivora; Felidae. The record is from Rfam by way of RNAcentral. RNAcentral also lists the same sequence under 2 other names.